RNA transcript from Rhinopithecus roxellana (golden snub-nosed monkey), 301 nucleotides. It is a transcript of the gene named 60S ribosomal protein L39 pseudogene, with no coding region annotated. The record is from RefSeq and is a predicted model, not a curated record. The transcript has a single exon. Lineage: Eukaryota; Metazoa; Chordata; Mammalia; Primates; Cercopithecidae.
UCCUUUCUCCGCCAUCGUGGUGUGUUCUUGCCUCCACUUCUUGCCAUGUCUUCUCACAAGACUUUCAGAAUUAAGCGAUUCCUGGCCAAGAAACAAAAGCAAAAUCGUCCCAUUCCCCAGUGGAUUCGGAUGAAAACUGGAAAUAAAAUAAGGUACAACUCCAAAAGGAGACGUUGGAGAAGAACCAAGCUGGGUCUAUAAGGAAUUGCACGAGAUGGCAUAUAUAUUUGUGCUGUCUGAAGGUCACGAUCACAUUACCAUAUCAAACUGAAAAUGUCACCACUCUCUGGAGAGUUCGACG